This 340-nucleotide long non-coding RNA is filed under the name Homo sapiens (human). RNAcentral describes it as "HSALNT0131868". Lineage: Eukaryota; Metazoa; Chordata; Mammalia; Primates; Hominidae. The record is from RNAcentral.
GUUUUUCUUCUCCUACAGGGAAACAAUUUGCUCCACUGGGAAGAGGGGAAAAGGCCACAGAAACAGUGCCCACACAUGGUUCAGGAGGUGGAAAUCAUGAGAUGACACCGUGUCUGUGCACGCGGCUCUGGUUCUGCUCAAGGCUUAUAGUAUUGCUCAUGGAAACAGAGGAUGCUGGAAACGAGGGUCUGGUUUUGCAGCAGAACCACAGCAUCUGGGGGCGAGUGUGGGGGCUCAGGCCGUGUCCAACCAGCUGGCCCCUGUAGCAGGCCCUCCCUAGCCUCUAGCCUCUGGGGACUUUAGGACCUAAUGGAAACUUUUCUUGACACAGCUCUAAGUU